This 478-nucleotide ribosomal RNA is filed under the name uncultured bacterium. RNAcentral describes it as "partial 16S ribosomal RNA". It matches the Rfam family "Bacterial small subunit ribosomal RNA", at positions 28 to 523 of the family's 1533-position model. The record is from RNAcentral.
GACGAACGCUGGCGGCGUGCUUAACACAUGCAAGUCGAACGGUAAGGCCCUUCGGGGUACACGAGUGGCGAACGGGUGAGUAACACGUGGGUGAUCUGCCCUGCACUUCGGGAUAAGCCUGGGAAACCGGGUCUAAUACCGGAUAGGACUCCGGACUGCAUGUCCUGGGGUGGAAAGCUUUUGCGGUGUGGGAUGGGCCCGCGGCCUAUCAGCUUGUUGGUGGGGUGAUGGCCUACCAAGGCGACGAGGGGUAGCCGGCCUGAGAGGGUGACCGGCGACACUGGGACUGAGAUACGGCCCAGACUCCUACGGGAGGCAGCAGUGGGGAAUAGUGCACAAUGGGCGCAAGCCUGAUGCAGCGACGCCGCGUGAGGGAUGACGGCCUUCGGGUUGUAAACCUCUUUCAGCACAGACGAAGCGCAAGUGACGGUAUGUGCAGAAGAAGGACCGGCCAACUACGUGCCAGCAGCCGCGGUAA